Molecule: unclassified non-coding RNA, 336 nt
Filed under: soil metagenome
Description: partial contains 5.8S ribosomal RNA, internal transcribed spacer 2, and large subunit ribosomal RNA
Rfam family: 5.8S ribosomal RNA (bases 1-120)
Source: RNAcentral
GAUGAAGAACGCAGCGAAAUGCGAUAAGUAAUGUGAAUUGCAGAAUUCAGUGAAUCAUCGAAUCUUUGAACGCACAUUGCGCCCGCCAGUAUUCUGGCGGGCAUGCCUGUUCGAGCGUCAUUUCAACCAUCAAGCCCCCGGCUUGUGUUGGGGACCUGCGGCUGCCGCAGGCCCUGAAAACCAGUGGCGGGCUCGCUAGUCACUCCGAGCGUAGUAAUACAUCUCGCUCAGGGCGUGCUGCGGGUUCCGGCCGUUAAAAAAGCCUUAUUUACCCAAGGUUAACCUCGGAUCAGGUAGGAAGACCCGCUGAACUUAAGCAUAUCAAUAAGCGGAGGA